Molecule: ribosomal RNA, 253 nt
Filed under: uncultured bacterium
Lineage: Bacteria
Description: partial 16S ribosomal RNA
Rfam family: Bacterial small subunit ribosomal RNA
Source: RNAcentral
UACAGAGGGGGCAAGCGUUGUUCGGAAUUACUGGGCGUAAAGGGCGCGUAGGCGGCCCGCUAAGUCGAACGUGAAAUCCCCGGGCUCAACCCGGGAACUGCGUCCGAUACUGGCGGGCUUGAAUCCGGGAGAGGGAUGCGGAAUUCCAGGUGUAGCGGUGAAAUGCGUAGAUAUCUGGAGGAACACCGGUGGCGAAGGCGGCAUCCUGGGCCGGUAUUGACGCUGAGGCGCGAAAGCCAGGGGAGCAAACGGG